AAGUAAAUAGGCGAUGGUGUUCGCCCUUAACUAUCAUAGUAAGUUUAUGAUUAAUGACGCCUACUUAAGA
Molecule: non-coding RNA, 70 nt
Filed under: Carnobacterium sp.
Lineage: Bacteria; Bacillati; Bacillota; Bacilli; Lactobacillales; Carnobacteriaceae
Description: Fluoride sequence
Rfam family: Fluoride riboswitch aptamer (crcB RNA motif)
Source: RNAcentral